UCCCUGGAGGACUAGUGGUUCAGCCACAGCGCUCUCACUGCUGAAGCCCGGGUUCGACUCCUGGCCUGGAG
RNAcentral lists this transfer RNA (71 nucleotides) under Pangasianodon hypophthalmus (striped catfish). RNAcentral's name for it is "tRNA-Glu". The record is from RNAcentral. Lineage: Eukaryota; Metazoa; Chordata; Actinopteri; Siluriformes; Pangasiidae.